CAGGAAACCUAACAGCAACCUUAGAAGAAUAAAACAUUAUAGGUGAAAGAUGAUACACAUUGACAGGAAAAUGUGCAAGCAACCACAAUUACCACUGCAGCUUAUACUAAUAGCUCAAGCCUGCAUCCCAGAUUACACCAACAGCUUGCAGCAGAGACAUCGGGCAGUUGGCUGCAGCCCAGUAGGAAGUGCAGACUGUGGCCUUUUUGUGGGUGCUCCUCAGUAAGGACUAACCAAGGAACUCUCUGGCUUUGUGGCUGCAAGGCCUGCACCAUUCCAGUCCUGCAAUACCAAACCUCUGAUGUGUUACUUCAGGCACGAGCAACCACAGAGCUGAACAGAGACCCACCACCGGCUGGGGAGGGCAGGGACCUUCGUACCUACUUGUUCAUGAUCAUGUUUCCUCUUUGGGAAUUCCUGCUGGUUUGGAGGUGUUUCUGAUGCUCUGCACCUCUCCAAGCUAUGUCCUACCGACUAUCCAGCCGGCAAUCAAGACGUGGUGGUUAUUCUCCUGAACAACCUGUUCAACAGGUAUCUCAGUUGGAUGGAGCCCCAGUUACUGCCAGGAUGCUUUAGUGCAGCGGUCGCGGCUGUAUGAAGACACAUGGAGGUAAGAGCCACCAGGUAAUUCUGUGGGAUCCCAGGGAUGCUCUGGGAAGCCAGGAAUGCUAUGGAAUCCCAGGGCUCCCACGGGUGCUGUGGCAUAGGCAGUAUCACAGGAAGAGUUUGGGGUUCCAAAGACGCUACAAGAUGAGUGGGACACGGGAGUGCCGCGGGACCCCCGCCUGCGUGCACGGUGGGAUGCCGGCGGUGCUGCGGCUGA
Molecule: long non-coding RNA, 823 nt
Organism: Neopsephotus bourkii (Bourke's parrot)
Lineage: Eukaryota; Metazoa; Chordata; Aves; Psittaciformes; Psittacidae
Exons: 3
Source: RefSeq, a predicted model, not a curated record